Molecule: long non-coding RNA, 219 nt
Filed under: Chinchilla lanigera (long-tailed chinchilla)
Lineage: Eukaryota; Metazoa; Chordata; Mammalia; Rodentia; Chinchillidae
Description: lncRNA (ENSCLAG00000025871.1)
Source: RNAcentral
GGGCACAGAUUUUUGGUAAAAUGGGAAUUAAUCACCCAGGGAGUACCUGGAGCGGGCGCAUCUCUUGUCAGUGGACAUCCAGAAAAGUAUUUCAAGUGGACAGAGAAAUGUACUAUGGUUGAUAUAAUCAGUCUCCAACUGUGCAAAAUAAAACAGAAUUUGAGGUGAAAAGCACUAUAAGAGUCAAAAUUUGAAUUUGCAUGCGAGCAACAAUUCACC